UCGCACCCAGUCUCGCUCGAACAGCUGCCUCCGACUACGCUAGGCCACACAGAGCAGACUACCCGCAGCCACACACCCCGCGCGCGACUCUCGCAACUCGCAACCCGCAACCCGAGUCGACAACCCAGCCGGUUCGCGCCCUACCACCGUACAGUACUCUCCGAGGGACCCUAGUAGGCUUCAAGCUCGCCGCCAGCACCCGGCCAGCUCCCUCCCAGCGAGGACCUAGCUCGUUCAGUACAGCACACCCGGCCUCGAGUUGCGUCCGAUAAUCGCUACGCCUGCCGCGGUCUCUGUACGAUAGAGCUCGAGUUCCUCCCUGCUCUUGACAACCAAGAAGAGCCGCCUGGGACACCCGCCUCCGUCCAACCGGAUCCCACCUCGGUCUGCUCGUCCCCGAGCAGUCACCACCCACUCGUAGCUAGCCUCGACUAGCGCACCCCUUUACCCGGAGGAACCGACGUCUCACGCCGCAGCCUCUUUCGACAAAGCGCGUCCGAUAAUCGCUACGCCAGUCGAGAGCUACGCCGUGUCCACGUCCUUCCCCUCCACCGACCUGCCUCACCCAGCUUCGGUAUCGACGACGCUCACGAUGCAGCCUUACCAGCCGUACCAGUACGGCUCACU
This 627-nucleotide unclassified non-coding RNA is filed under the name Rhodotorula toruloides. Lineage: Eukaryota; Fungi; Basidiomycota; Microbotryomycetes; Sporidiobolales; Sporidiobolaceae. The record is from RNAcentral.